Molecule: long non-coding RNA, 391 nt
Filed under: Nicotiana benthamiana
Lineage: Eukaryota; Viridiplantae; Streptophyta; Magnoliopsida; Solanales; Solanaceae
Description: long non-coding RNA (NBEN_LNC002201)
Source: RNAcentral
CCCCACUUUGUGGGACUAUACUGGGUAGUUGUUGUUGUUUUACUAUAUAUGGUAUAAGAUACCUUGAAAUUGAGAAAAUAGAUAGGGGAGAAACGUGCUAACUGAAAUGUGCUGGGCUGGGUGUCAAAUAUACAUACUCCUGUAACUACAACAUCAACAUACCCAGUGUUGCUCCUGUAAAAUAAAUGAUAUAUAUGUAAGUGUUUUUCAUGUUCUGCAGGGUGUAAAAUCUAGUCAAAAUUCUUUUCGCGUUCGCUUAACAUACUCACAUUCUGAUGCAUUAACAAGGGAUGAUGUUCAGGAAAGGGCUGGAGGAAAUAAGAGGAGGAAAACAGGCAUGUUAUCUUGUCAAAUUUCUCCUUUUCCUAUUUGAGAGAUUUAAGUUUCUGUA